This 467-nucleotide ribosomal RNA is filed under the name uncultured bacterium. RNAcentral describes it as "partial 16S ribosomal RNA". It matches the Rfam family "Bacterial small subunit ribosomal RNA", at positions 28 to 506 of the family's 1533-position model. The record is from RNAcentral.
GACGAACGCUGGCGGCGUGCUUAACACAUGCAAGUCGAACGGAAAGGCCCUGCUUUUGUGGGGUGCUCGAGUGGCGAACGGGUGAGUAACACGUGAGUAACCUGCCCUUGACUUUGGGAUAACUUCAGGAAACUGGGGCUAAUACCGGAUAGGAGCUCCUGCUGCAUGGUGGGGGUUGGAAAGUUUCGGCGGUUGGGGAUGGACUCGCGGCUUAUCAGCUUGUUGGUGGGGUAGUGGCUUACCAAGGCUUUGACGGGUAGCCGGCCUGAGAGGGUGACCGGCCACAUUGGGACUGAGAUACGGCCCAGACUCCUACGGGAGGCAGCAGUGGGGAAUAUUGCACAAUGGGCGGAAGCCUGAGGCAGCAACGCCGCGUGCGGGAUGACGGCCUUCGGGUUGUAAACCGCUUUCGCCUGUGACGAAGCGUGAGGGACGGUAAUGGGUAAAGAAGCACCGGCUAACUACGU